CAGAGCCAAAUGCCACCCCCCCGGGAAACGGCUGCCCCAAGCGCCUGCUUGGCGCGCUGGUGUCUAGAGCCGCCCCUAAGCGCAGAGGGGGAACUAGACAGGGGGCCCUCUUGGGGGAGCCAGGCCAGAAGGGAACUAGACAGCCCCCCCCCAACAGGGACCCCAUGGGGCGGUGGGGGGAGCCAGCUGGCCCUCCCCCCAAGACAGGGAGUCCUAUGGGGCGGGGAAGAGAAUUAGAUGGCUCUCCCCCUAAGUCAGGGAGACCUAUAGGCAGGGGAACCCGACAGGUCAGCUGGACAGGGAACAUGAUGCUUCCCAGGCUGUGAGGUACCUCACUAUCUGCCAUGGCAACACAAGCCUGGCCCUCUAGGCCUCCUCAGCACCCCUGUCUCUGCAGAUUAGCGUGCAUCCUCCAAGCAUCUCCCUGGAGGGUCCAGUCCCUGGUCUCUCACAGGAUUCCCAGCUCUGCUGUUCCCAAAGGAACUAUUCUCUAACUUAGUCCGACUCCCACCUCAGAUCAGCGCUCGGCUUCACACACAGCACUUAGACAUGUUUACAGUGAAAUGCCCAUCUCCACUGAAGAAGAGCUACAUGCCACCUUUGAAGCUUUCAAAACCAUUUGAGCAUAUGGUUGGGGUUCUUCAUUCCCAUCUACCACAAACAUACAUGGAUUUUGUUCUGAUUUACCAAACCUCCCUGGAGGUGCGACUAAGUGUAAAUUCAGAGCCCCAGAGAAUAUUAUGACAGAUAUCCCAGGUCAAGUGCACAUUCAAGAGAGCAGAAAUUCUGGUAAGAGGAACCUACUGAUGAAAUGUGAAAUCAGUUGCUUCAAAGACUGAGCUUGCCUGGGUCUAAUACCUGCAGCCAUGGACUACUGACCAGCAAACCAGACCCUCCUUUGAAUGAGAUGCUGUGGCCAGGUAGCAGUAGUGAGUGCAAACAGAGGAGCUGGUCAUGAAGGAAGGGUGACUGGAGCCUACUCUGCUCAGGAUUCUCCAUCAGAGGGGCACAGAUUGCAGAGUCACUUGAAGGACUGGAGUCUUACAGAUGUACCGGAGGCUCCUCAGUCAUGGUGAUCAAAAGUAAGUUUAGGGGGCUAAAGAUAGUGAUGAGGAUUAAGCCUUCUUCCACUCUGGCAGAGCUCCAAACCACCACAGCAUGUACAGUGAUUCCCCAUCCCUUAGUGCACAACAGAAAUUCUUCUGGCAAUUGCUCAGAUUUCACUUUUGCUGCAACAGCUCUGUUGUGUUGCAGUAAGAGAAACUGGAUUUCAGCAGGGCUAACUUGGUAGUGACUUUUUGUUUCUCUGAAGUCAGCUGCCUAUUGCCUGCUGCCAACUUCUAGCCACAGAAGUCAAACGCCCUAUCAUUUGAAGAGUCUGUAUUUCAGGCUGCAGAAAAUAGACAUCCUCAUUUCCGAAAGGUCACGCCAGUGCUAGUACAAAAAUGUUCUCAGUAAACAGUGAAAAGCCCCAACGUAUUUUUUUUCUUUCAACAUCAAAACAAGUCUAUCCACACAAGCUCAAGUUUCAGCAUUGCUCAGCUUCCCUGCCCUCUGCAGUGGGAUGGGGUAAAGGGCAAGUCAUCCCAACACCUCACCCCCCAAGCCAGAUGCAGUUGCAAUAUGCACCAUUUUACCAGCCAAUUGGGGAAGUUGAGUUUUCAGAAAUAUGUUGUGGCUUUUGAGAAAAGUACUAACUGACAAACUCCCCAGCAAUUUCAUUCCUGCUUCAACCAAGGAGCGUGCCCGGCCGACACUCCUGCCCCAUCUUUGAGGCCAGAGGCAAUUGGGUCAAUUAUUUCAAACUCCCACUAAAUUAGAGUGAACCCUAUCAAUUAUACUGUUCCUUCCCUUCCCCAUUCCUUGCACCAUCCAAUCAAAACUACCAUGAGGAAUGCUGUGCUUAUGGCAUUGCUCAUACUGCAAUGCUCCAGAAGGCUCAUCUCACAGACUGAGAAAUAAGCGAUGGGGUAGAAUAUUUAAAUUGGGAAAUAGCUUCAAUUUCUUGCAUUUCAAGAUAUGCCAUCCCCCUCCCUCAGCACUGGAGGGCACCCAUUUCCUUCCCCUGUCAGAGUUGGCCCCUUUGAACUCCAAGUGAAAGCAAAGCUAAGGACUCAAUGAGCCUCAGAAACUAAGAUCUAGGGCUGUGCACUAGUCCAGCUAUUCAUAUUCUGAGAUUAUUCAGUCAUGUGACUGUAUGGAUUAUUUCAGGUAUGCAACUAAGAACUCAUCACUGCUAUUGUAAUUCUGAUUUACUAAAGGGCAAAAGCAAUUCCCAAUAAGAAUUCCCCAGGAAACACAAUUUAAAAAACCCACCUGUUUAAUAUUUGUAAAGUACUCUGGGAUCCUGGGAUGAAAAAUGUCAAGUGCAAAAUCCUCUUGUUAUAGUGGAUGAAUAUUUUUAGAAAGUUUGAGUGGCCAUUUUAUGAGUGGGGGGAUAUAUGCAUUUUCUGUUGUGAAAACAAUCUUUAUGAUUAAAAAAUCAUAGCGAUAGCAAAAUGGCUGAAGUCUACAAGUAAGCAGUUGGGCAUGGAAGUAGUCAUCAUAGCCUCGGUCUGGAGAAAAUUGGUUUCAAUUUGACAAAGCAGAGUGUUUGAAAAGUCAAGUCAAGCAUGCACAUCUUGCAUGAUAAUGGUGAGUAAGGAUCUGAGCCAGCUCCCAUUCAAGUCAAAACAAACACCUGUAAGAGUAAAGCAUUGUCCAUACAUCCACUCUGCAGGUGAACAGACAGACGUACGGAGAACUAAAACACGUAGACAGGAUGACUUUCUGCACACCACAGGGCAAUUCACUAGCAGUGUAAAACAGCGUAAUGCUUAGUUAGGAAAUGGUACACUCGGUACAAUGCCACUCAAAGCUUGUCUACAGCAGGACAGUCAGGAAAGUUGAGAUGAAUCAAAUAAAGCUGACAAAGUGGGUAUUCACCCACGAAAGCUUAUGCUCCAAUACAUCUGUUAGUCUAUAAGGUGCCACAGGACUCCUUGUCACUUUUUACAGAUCCAGACUAACACAGCUACCCCUCUGAUACAAAUAAAGCUGUGAAGCUAAUGUGCAUUAAAUCCUUGUCAAGAUUCUCUCGUUCAUAAGUAAAGUGGAUUUAGCUGGUUGUAGCUUAAUCCUCCUAUGACGAAGUGAGGGGUUUUCUUGGUUUUUCUGUGUUUUCCAGUGGGUUGCAUGCAGAGGGAGGGGGACUCAGUGUCCCCGGGUGUUACUGGUUUAACGAGGUGAGGGGAGAGGGAGUUUGUUGUUACAGAGGA
This is a long non-coding RNA of Mauremys reevesii (Reeves's turtle), 3257 nucleotides long. RefSeq lists it as uncharacterized. The record is from RefSeq and is a predicted model, not a curated record. The transcript is spliced from 3 exons. Lineage: Eukaryota; Metazoa; Chordata; Testudines; Geoemydidae.